This 777-nucleotide ribosomal RNA is filed under the name Triticum aestivum (bread wheat). Its description in RNAcentral is "partial small subunit ribosomal RNA". Lineage: Eukaryota; Viridiplantae; Streptophyta; Magnoliopsida; Poales; Poaceae. The record is from RNAcentral.
AUGCAUCCCGGGAGGAAGUAUGAUUUCGGUGCUUCAAAGCGUAGGAAGAAACAAAAACUAGAAGAAGAUGCUCAAACCCAAAAGGGCGCUCUCGAUAAAUUUGUUGUGAAAGAACCGCAAAGCAAUUCUGAAAACCAAACUCCUGAUGCUAAUAUUGAGAUUGAGGCUCACAUUGCAUAAUCUGAUGAACAUGAUGAUACUAACAUUGUAGUCUAAGGUGAUGAUUCUAUUCAUGUUGAUGAAGGUGAUGGUGCUAAUAUUGUCGUUGAAGGUAAUGUUGCUGAUAACAUCAAUAAUUCUGUUCAGCCAAAUAUAUUUGAUCCAAGAACUUGGGAUGCACUUGAUCCUACAAUGAUUGAUAUUUUGGCGCAAAGGGGCCCAAAAAGAGACCCGUCUAUUGAGCAUGGUCGUACAGACAAAUUUGGUAGAAGGUUUUCUGCAUUAUCGUACACUAGAGUUCUCUCGAAUGGAGAAAAGUGUGAUAGAGAGUGGCUUGUGUACAACAAAGAUCUUGACAAAGUAUUUUGUUUUUGCUGCAAAUUAUUUAGGAAGGGACAUGUGAGAGGUCAAUUAGCAAAUUAUGGCUUCAAUGACUGGCAUCAUCUUAUCAGUAGACUCAAAGAACAUGAAAAUGGCAGAGAACAUGUCACAAAUAUGAGUACUUGGUAUGACUUGCAUUUCAGGUUGGAGAAGAAUAAACAAUUGAUAAAGUUGCUCAACAAGAACUUGAAAAAGAAAGGGAGCAUUGGAGAAAAGUUUUGCUCAGGAUUCUUUUGA